This 202-nucleotide long non-coding RNA is filed under the name Gossypium barbadense (sea-island cotton). RNAcentral's name for it is "long non-coding RNA (GBAR_LNC023384)". The record is from RNAcentral. Lineage: Eukaryota; Viridiplantae; Streptophyta; Magnoliopsida; Malvales; Malvaceae.
GAAUUUUUGAUUUUUUUGAUGAUUUUAAGUUAUGCCCUUGUUGAUAAUGUGAGCUUUGUGAAGUUGGAUGAUAGUAAGUGAAAGAUAUGUUUUGGGUUAACAUAUUUUAUAUUUGAAUUUUUGAUGAAUUUGAGUAAUUUGGAUUAAAUUGUGAAAUUUGUAAAUUGAGGGACUAAAAUGUGAAAUAAAUGAAACAUAUGGG